GAUGAACGCUGGCGGCGUGCCUAAUACAUGCAAGUCGAACGAGGUCUUCGGACCUAGUGGCGAACGGGUGAGUAACACGUUGGUACCUACCCCGAAGUGGGGAAUAACUGCCCGAAAGGGUGGCUAAUACCGCAUAAUACCGCAAGGUUAAAGCAGUAAUGCGCUUCGGGAGGGGCCUGCGUCCCAUUAGCUAGUUGGUAGGGUAAUGGCCUACCAAGGCGACGAUGGGUAGCUGGAUCGAGAGGUUGACCAGCCACACUGGGACUGAGAUACGGCCCAGACUCCUACGGGAGGCAGCAGUAGGGAAUUUUCCACAAUGGGGGCAACCCUGAUGGAGCAACGCCGCGUGCAGGAUGAAGGCUCUCGGGUCGUAAACUGCUUUUCUCUGUGAUGAUUAUGACAGUAGCAGAGGAAUAAGGAUCGGCUAACUCCGUGCCAGCAGCCGCGGUAA
RNAcentral lists this ribosomal RNA (451 nucleotides) under uncultured bacterium. RNAcentral's name for it is "partial 16S ribosomal RNA". It matches the Rfam family "Bacterial small subunit ribosomal RNA", at positions 28 to 523 of the family's 1533-position model. The record is from RNAcentral.